Molecule: long non-coding RNA, 1212 nt
Filed under: Varanus komodoensis (Komodo dragon)
Lineage: Eukaryota; Metazoa; Chordata; Lepidosauria; Squamata; Varanidae
Description: lncRNA (ENSVKKG00000011092.1)
Source: RNAcentral
UAAAAUAUACAUCCCUUGAAUGAGAUAAAUGUAACAAACAAAUGUUAUUUGUUGAUUUCCUGGCCAUUGUUAGUGAACACUGUUUGUCAAGGCUUGCCAUGUAACUAUUAACAUGUAAUAUUUUUACUUCAGAAUAUCAGAAUUCAGAGAUCUGUUGGCCGGGCAAGGGAAGGAACAACAUUCCCUCUCAGCCUGAAGCUGAAAGUGAACUUUUCUGCUGAGGAAGUUAUCCCAACACUAGAUAACUCUGUGCCAGUACAUGAUGCUGAAAUUUUGGAAGAUGGCGCAACAUCCUUACCCAUAGCUGGUUCUUUCUGUGCUACCAUCUGGGUCUUUACCACCAUCAGCGGGCUGAUAACCAUUCAGGCAGAUGGUACAAUUUAUGGAGUCAACAACACAUUUACUCUAAUGCUGUUUGGCUAUGAGAAAAAGGAACUUCUAGGGAAGAACAUCACAUUCCUGAUUCCUGGCUUUUACAAGUACAUGGAUAGAAUUAAUGCCUCCUCCGUAGAACUUCCACAGUCUAGAGGAAGUUAUAACGUAGCUGAAGAAAAUGUGAUCUCCGGUGUCUUUAAAGGAACCCAGGUGGAUGGCUGUGGUACAGUGGGAAAUAAUGAAGGUACCAGACCAUUACUUACUGGAGCUGUGGAGCUGCAAAAACAACAGGAAUUGUCAAAGCAUAAUGGAGCAGAGCUUUGUAUUAGACAGGAAACGCAGUUGGAAAGUGGUGGAAGUUUGCCCUCUUUUCUGUUACCUCCUCCAGAAGCAUCCAUAUCACUAACUGGAGACUAUAUACCCAGCAGCCAUAUCCCAGUCCCUGAUGAAGUCCUGCUUUCUGAGAGUCUGCAUGAUGGAAGCUGCACUGAGACACAGAUGACAAACUCUGCAGACUCUCAGCAAUAUGAAGCACAUUCUCAAAAACAGUUUUGUUCUGAACCUUAUGUUUUAGAAGGUAGGACUAAACUGCAAGACAGGAAUCUUUCCCUGUGCACUUUUGACCUAGUUCAGGAAGAAGAUGACUCUUUGGAUAUCUGCAGUUCUGGAAUGAUAAAGUGCCAGUCUCUCACUACCACAAAGAUUUCUGGAGCAGAAUGCCAUACUCAAAAGAAAACCAAGCUGGAAUCAAGGAGUAACCUAUCCUCUCUUGUGCCAUCUGCCCUAGAUGCAUCUACACCAUUGAAUGGGUAGGUAGAAGGUUUGAAUUAUGUGAGG